RNAcentral lists this ribosomal RNA (120 nucleotides) under Helianthus annuus (common sunflower). Lineage: Eukaryota; Viridiplantae; Streptophyta; Magnoliopsida; Asterales; Asteraceae. The record is from RNAcentral.
GGUUGGUAUCAUACCAGCACUAAUGCACCGGAUCCCAUCAGAACUCCGCAGUUAAGCGUGCUUGGGCGAGAGUAGUACUUGGAUGGGUGACCCCAUGGGAAGUCCUCGUGUUGCAACCCC